RNAcentral lists this ribosomal RNA (292 nucleotides) under uncultured Bacteroidota bacterium. RNAcentral's name for it is "uncultured Bacteroidetes bacterium partial 16S ribosomal RNA". The record is from RNAcentral. Lineage: Bacteria; Pseudomonadati; Bacteroidota.
GGACUACCAGGGUAUCUAAUCCUGUUCGCUCCCCACGCUUUCGUCCAUCAGCGUCAAUAUGAUGUUAGUAACCUGCCUUCGCAAUUGGUAUUCCAUGUAAUAUCUAAGCAUUUCACCGCUACACUACAUAUUCUAGUUACUUCACAGCAAUUCAAGUUCUACAGUAUCAAUGGCAGUUCGAUAGUUGAGCUACCGGAUUUCACCACUGACUUAUAAAACCGCCUACGGACCCUUUAAACCCAAUGAUUCCGGAUAACGCUUGGAUCCUCCGUAUUACCGCGGCUGCUGGCAC